GAUUUUUGCAGGAGUCCAGUGAACAGACAGUGUGUGAAACUACUAUGUUGACCUUGGACUUCUCUUGAGUGUCCAAGUACACUUAGUGGUUGCCCUAAUGAUUAUAGUGAGUGUAUGCAUGGAAUUAUCAGGGGUCCAGAUGGAAGGACAUGUAUCCUGACCAGGGUUGCCACCAUAUGUUUUCUCAGCAGGUAGUCAAGAGAUGAUGGUGUCUCUAACUACAACAUUGGCCUCAGAACCUUAAGAUUCAGGUAGAGUUCAUGGUUCCCCUAACAAUACUAGUCACCAUGGGAUUUUUUGAGGUGCGUAUAGAAGAUGUAUCCCUAACCACUACUGCUGCCAUAUGGUUUUGCAAGCUCCUAUCAAGAGAUAAUGGUGAAACUCAUAUUAGUCAUUUUUGUAGGAAUUUCAUGGAAUCUAGCUAAGUGAUUAUGUGGACCUUAAACACAGUACAGACCAUCUGCUCUUCAGACAUCGAGGUAAGUGACGAUGAUGUCCUCAACAUGUGUUGGUAUCAUGUGUUUUGCAGGUAUUCGGGUAAAAAAAAAUGAUACGGGCUCUACCAAUAAGUAUUGGAAUCCAUGAGCUUUAGCUUAACCAGUUUUCUAGUUUAGAGAUAUUGUGUGUUUAACUUUAGGAGUGAAUGAGGGAUUUUCAGGUAUCUAGGCAAGUGAUCAUAACUUUCUUCACCACAGUAAUGACCUUGAGAUUUUUAUAGAUGCCCAGACAAUAAAUGACGGUGCCUGUACCAAUGUGUUGACCUUCAGGUUCUGCCAAUAUCCAGGUAGCAUUAAUGGGUUUGUAAAGAUGGAAGUGACAAAAGUUAUUUGCAGAUGUUCUGCUAGAAAAAGUUGCAUUCUUAAACACAUCUGUCACAAUAUGUUUUUUCAGGUUUCAGUCUAAAGAUCAAGGUAACCCUAACAACGGGGAUUAACAUGGAGCUUUGCUGGUAUCCAGGCAAGUGAUGAUGUGGGUCUUAUCACACGGUAGACAUUGUGACCUUCAGAAGUUUACAUAAGUGAUGAUGAUACCUCUAACAUUUGUGUUACCGUGUUUUUUUGGGUUUUUGCAGAUAUUCAGGUAAGAAAUUAUAGUGUUCCCAUAAUUCCUAUUUAAUAAUACACCCUUGCUGCUUACUAGUGCAGAGAUAAUGUUUUGAAAUCUGGCUAUGACUGAGGGAUUUGUAAGUUUCCAAGUAAAUUAUCGUACUGUUUCUCAUCUCAGUAUUGACUAUGGUAUUUUUACAGGUACCCAGUCAAGAGAUUAUGACAUAUCCAUGGUUUUGACCUGGAUAUUCUGCAAGUAUCAAGGUGCUGUCAGUGGAUGGUGGUGAAACUAACAAUGAUAGUGAACAUGGACUUAGCUAAAAGAGAGGGAAAAGAUGGUGUGAGCCUUUACACUUUGGAGAGCUUCAGAUUUCAGUUAUCUCGGAUUCUGUCAGGAGAUUAUGGUGAGCCCAACAGUGGUAGUUGAUGUGGGACACUGCUGGAAUAUAGGUAACUGAUGUGGUAAGUUUAAAUCACAGCAAGUCUACUUGAUUUUCCUAUAUCUAGGUAAGUGAUUAAUGAUGUCCCAAAUACUUGUUACUGUGUUUGUUUCUUUUUUCUUUAUGUAUUCAGUGAUGAAAAGUUCUUACUAGUAAUAGAACCCAUGAGUUCUUUCUUUUUACCUUUUAGGGAAAAUUUCUUUAACUUUGUGAGUAUUGAGGGAUUGUCACAGUAAUUACCAUUGUGUUUCCCACUGCAUUCGUAAUCAUGGGAUCUUUGCAGUUAUCCAGUCAAGAAAUUAUGGUCUUAUCUGAAAUGGUGUUUACCUUGAUGUACUACAAAUAUUCAAGUAGAGAUGAUGUGUCCAGUAAUAUUGGAAGUAACUAAGGUUAGUUGACAGCAUCCUCAUAGAAAAUAAAUUGUGUCCUUUAACAUGUAUUUUCUAAAGUGUUUUUCAUGUUCCUGUCAAGAGAGCAUGGGGAACCUAAAGACGGUGGUUAACAUGGGACGUUGCUGGUGUCCAGAUGUAACCCCGGGACUUCUGGAAGUGUGCAGUGAACAGAAAGUGUUUUCACUAACAGUAGUGCAGACCAUAGAAUACUACAAGUAAUCAGGUUUCAGUCCAGAGAACAUGAUGAACUUCAAAAUGGUCAUUCACAGGGAUUCACCUGGUGCCCAGAGAAUGUAUGCUCAACCCUUUUAGUGAUGAAGAACUGCACAUGUCUAGAUAACUAUCGUGGUGCUCCUCCUCCACUAGUAGCCAUGGGAAUUUUGAGAUUAUAGUCAGGAAAUGAUGUUUUUAUCUGGCAACAGCACUUCCUUGGAGUACUUCAGAUAUUCAGAUGCCUAUCCAGAGAUCACAAAGGACCUAAAUAUGUUUGUUAACAGGAGACGUUGCUGGUGUCCAGAUAUGUCUUCAAGAGAUGAAGGAGUUUCUUACCUUGGUUUGAACUUGGAAUUCAGCAGGCAUCCAGGUAGCAUGGAUGGGUCCUGAAAUGAUACAGAUCCAAGUCAAGACAUCAUAGUGAGUCUGUGAAAGGUAAUCAGGGAGUCUGUGAAAGAUGGGAUGUUGCCGGUAUCAAGGCAAGAGAUGGUGUGGGACAAAAGCACAGCACAGCACAGCCCAUCUGAUCAUCAUGUGCAUAGGUUCCUGUGAACUGAUUGUUAUGAAACUAAAAGUGGAUGUUAAUAAAAACAUUUCUGCUCUAAGUAAGUGAUGAUGCACACCCUAACCAAUCAUGAAUCAUCUGAUUUUUAUAUAUCUAGGUAAGUUUUACCAUUUGAUUUUUGGUACGUAGUCAGGCAAAACAUGAUAGCAUUUUAUUAAUUCUAGCAGACGUGUUAAUCCAGAGUUUGUAUUUCACAGAAAAUUUACAUUUAACCAGGUGAGUGGUCAAUGAUUUCCAUGUGUCCUUGAAAAUAUCUUGUGGCUCCCCAUCAGGGUAGCAACCAUGGGAUAUUAUCAGCUGUGCAGUUAUCACCACCCAUGAUGGUGUCUCUAACAAAGAUAUGUUGACCUUGAAUUGAAGCAAGUAUCUAGGUAGAGUUGAUGUGUAUUCCAAAAUAAUGGAAGCAUACAAGGUUGUAGGCAAGUGCCCGGGGAGAACAAGUUGUGACCUUAAACACAUUUGUCUUAUAUGAUGUUUCAGGUUCUUGUCAAAACUAUGAGGUGAAUCACAUAAUGCUCAGUAAUGAAACAUUGCUUGUAAACAGGUAGUGAUAACUGUUUGCGUCCUGUAAUGGGGGUAAUUACACAAUGCAGAGCGUUGGAUUUUCUAGGUAGGUAAAAAGGGAUCCCUAAUGCUUAAGCUACUGUGUAUUUUGUAGGUAAUCCAUUCAGGUUUUUGGGCUAGUAUACAGCUACCAGAUAAGGUUGUAUUAACAUGUAAAACACCUUGGUAUUUUCGGAUAUCAACUUUAUUAAUGUUUUACACAAUAUUAACUUAAACUUGUUUUUCACAUUUAUGCAGUUAAAAAUAAAUAUGCCUCUAGUAAUACAAAUAAUCAAGAGAAUUUAUUGCAUGUCUUGACAGAUAAUGAGUAUUGAACACUUACAGAGCUACACAAAUCCACAGGCAUCUGGAUUAACAGUAUUGUCCAAAACCAUGAAAUUAACAACUGGAAUUAUGCAGGGAUCUAAUCAAGAAAGUACAAGGAUUCUUAAAAGGCGUUUUCCUCAAAUUUCUACAAGUAUUGAGAUUUACAUUAACAUAUCGCAGCAAGCCUGUCAAAGCUAGGUAACAUGGGACAUUGCUGGCAGAGGUAAGUGCUGAUGCGGGCCUUAACUACAGCCCGCAGCGUGGGACUGUCACAGAGACUAGUUCAGUGAUGAUGUGUCCCUAAACGUCAUCCCGCCAUGAUUUUUUCCCAGGUAUUCAGGUGAGAAAUGAUUGAGUCUUAACCAAUCUCAGAUAGGCUAGGUUUUCUAAUUUUCUCUUUCACCGAAAGUGUAUGCUGACCCUGUGAGUGUUGAGGGAUUGCAAGUAACCAGGUAUUUAUCACUGUAUUACCCACCCCCAUACUGCCCCUGGGAUUUGUGGAAGUGUCCAGUUGUGAAACGGUGGUUUUCUGCUAUCAGGGUCGACCUAGGAUUACUGCAAGUAUCCAGGUCGAGUGGUGUGUCCCAUAAAGCUGGAAGAACUCAAGGUUCUUUGCAGGAGUCCUGGUGGAAAACCCUGUGUCCUUCUACGUAUAUGUUUUCAUGCCUAUUUCAGCCCCUGACCGUGACAUCACAAUGAGUAUGAUACAGGUCUGGAGGUCAGCACUGAUGAGGACUGAAAGCAACGCACGGGCCACGUAAGGUUCAGCAGUCUAGGAAAGUGAUGAUGGUGUCCAUCCUUCCUGUUGUUCCCAUGAUUUCACUUCAGUUGUCCUAGGAAAAAAUGGUGUCCUGUAGAGAGAAAUGCUGUCUUCUGGGACCACGGCCCUGAGCUUGGGGACCCUGUCAGCAUCCAGGUUCCCGGGAGGAAAUCCUAACUAACCAGAGACACAAUCAGGGGACGUGUCUGCUAUCUGGUCCAGGAGAGAACGUAUGAGAGAAGCGGGCCAGAGAAAAUAGCAUGUCCUGCAAUGGCCUAGACCUUGGAGGACCUGCAAACAUCCAGGUUCCCGUGGAAAGGUCACAGGAAACCUCUUCGUGCUUGAGCGGAGGACUGUGCCUGUAUUUAGGUGGGUGAUGGCGUGGGCCUAAGCAGGCCACGGACUAUCCGAUCUUCCCAUACACAGGUAAAUGCAGAUGGCUUUCUGGCUCUUGUCCCUGUCCUGCCAUGGGUUCCUCGGCUCAUUUUCUGUUCUUUAUUUUCUGCAGUUAUUCAGUUAAGAAACGAUGCUUUGCCAACCAAGACUGGUAAGCAUUAGUCCUUGCUAUGUUCAACUUUAGGAAAAUGUGCCUUGAACCUGAGUCCGUGUUGACUGAGGGAGAUGUGGGUGUCCAGGUAAAUUAUCCUACUCUACCAGACCACAGGAUGGAAUGAUAGUUCUGACACAUCCUCAGUCCAGAGUCAAUAAUGGUGCCAGCAGUGGGGUGGAAGUUGGAGUUCUGCCAGGAUCUAGGUAAGGCCGAUGGUUCCCAGAUGAUGGCAGUGACCAGGCUGUGUAGUGCAUAUCUUUUUCGUCUUUCAGGUACGCCAAGUGGCAUCCCGGAAAACACCUGUCAGAUGCAUUUCUUCUGCUGCUGCUAGUCAUGAGAUCAAGGCCAGCCUGAGAACGGCCAUUCAGGGGCCCUGGAUUGUAACUGGUUAAUUGAUCACAUGAGUCCUAUGCCAGUACAGACCACCUGAACUUCAGAUUUCCUGGACAAAGAGGGCACUCUCCUUGACACACUGUUUUUCCCAUGGUUUCCUGCAGGAGUCCCGUAAAGUUCUCUUCCUGUAGAGAGGUAGGAGAUGUUGUGACAUUAUCUCGUGAAAGACAUUUUGUGUUUCCUGCAUGUAGAUAAAAUUAAUGACGGUUUUGAGUCUGGUAGAGUAACCUUGUGUUUGGCAUAUGUGUCAUUGGGAAAAAAUAAUUAGUGAUUCCCAAUGCCAGUAAGCAUGAGAUUUUACUGUUUGCUUAUUCAGAGGUAAGGCUUUGUUUGUUUGUUUUUUGCAAAUUUCACACUCCACGCAAUAGACAGAUAUGCCAAUGCCCAGGUAGUUGAUCAUAUUGUCUGUCACCCAGAUGUGGACUGUGGUGUUUCUGCAGGUAUCCCUUGUAGACUGUAGCCUCAGAGUUCUUCUGUUAUCCAGGUAGCCUUGAUGAGUCGUGAAAUGAUGCCAGUGAACAAGAGUAUUUGUGAUUGUCCUUGUAGCAUAGGUUGUGGACCAAGCAGUUUCCAUAAUAUGUCUUUCAGAUGUGUGUCAGGGCAUCACAGCAGGCCUUUCAAUCCUAGGUAAUGUGGGACAUUGCUGGGUGAGGUAAGUGCCACAGCCUGCAGUGUGGGACUGUUACAGAGACCUAGUUCUGUGAUGAUGUGUCCCUACAUGUCUUCCCAUCGUGAUUUCUUUCCCAGGUAUUUGGGAGAGAAAUGAUUGAGUCCUUACCAAUCCCAGGAUUUCUCCUGGUGUCCAGUCAAGAAAUAAUGGAUUUCUGCAUAGAUUUUGACCGUGUAUCACUGAAGUUGUGCAGAUAUUCCGAUAAGAAAUGUAGAGUCCUGGCUGAGCGCAGUGGCCCACGCCUGUAAUCCUGGCACUUUGGGAGGCCGAGGCUGGUGGAUCACAAGAUUCCUGGAAGAAAUCCCAAUGAACAGGGGUCAUUAUCAGGCCACAUUUCUGGUAUCUGUGGUAAGUAAUGAUGUUCACUUUAACCCCAUCACAGACCAUUUGAUCUUCAUAUAUCUAGGUAAGUGAUGUCUGUUUACGUGAACUGUUUAUCAUGUGCUUUUAUAACAGUGAUUUUUGUAAGUAAUGACAGUAUUUCUAGUUCUAGUGACCAUGUUAUAUUGUUUUUAAUUUAGAGAAAACUUAUGGUUUACGCUGUGAGUAUCAAAUGAUUUGCGUGUACACAGAUAACAACGUGGUGUGCUUCAUAGUAGUAACUGUGGUAUCCUUGCAGAUAGGUAGUCAAGAAAAAAUGGUGUGUCCUUCAAGGUUGUAGACCUUGGGAAUACUGCAAAAUUCCAUGUAGAUUUAUGUCUUCUGCAAUGAUGACAGCCAACAAGUUAUUUGCAGGGUUCUGGUGGAAGAGUUGUGUCCACAGACACAUUUGUCAUAAUGUGGUUUCAGGUUCCUCUCAAGGGGUCAUGGGAAACCUCAUCAUGAUCAACAAUGGGACAUUGCUGGUAUCCAAGCCAAUUAUGAUGUGGGCCUUAAACACCCUACAAAAAUGUGAUCUACAGAAAUGUAGGUAACUGUAGAUGGUUUUCCUAAUUUUUGUGUUGCCAUAUUUUGUGCAGGUAUUUAGUUAAGGAAUUAUAUUUUCCCAACCAACGCAGGUAAGCAUCAGUCAUUAUUUUAGAGUUUAGUUAUAAUGUGUUUAGUCUUAUAGUGAGGGAGGGAUAUGCAGGUAUCCAGGUAAGUUUUCCUACUGUUUCCCACCACGUUAUUGACCAUGAGACUUCAACAUCAUCAAGAGAUGAUGGUGCCACUACAUUGUUGACAUUGAAGUCAUGGCAAAUCCAAGUAGUGUUGAAGGUUCCCUGCUGAUGGAAGUGCCCAGAAUUAUUUGUGUCUUGUCUUUUUUUAUGUAAAACAAAUUGUUUCCUUAAACACACUUGAGCAAUGUGUUUUUUAGUUUUCUGUAAUGAGCUCACAAUCAAGCUUAACAAUAGUCAUUAAUGGAACCGUGCUGUAACCUGCUAAUUGAGAAAGUGUGUUUCCCACAAUCAGACCAUUAGAUCUUUAUAUUUCCAUGUAAGUGAGGAUGGUGUCCUUAACACUUGUCUACCAUGUAUUCCUGCAGGUAUCCUGUUAAGUUCUUUCCUAGUAUACAGGUAGAAGAUUAUGUGAUAUUAACACAUUAGCAACCUUCCUAUUUUCAGAUAUGUAGGUGAUUAAUGAUUUUUUUGAGACUCUUCUUGUAACCUUGUGUUUGUCAUGCAUGCAGUUAAGAAAUUACUUUUUCCCUAACAUUACUAGUAAGAGUGAGAUUUUACUGUGUUCUUGUUUAGACAUAAUGUGUAUUUAUCAAUUGUAGUGAUAUAUGGAUAUGCGAGUAUCCAGGUAAUUUAUCAUAUUGUCCAUCACUGUAAUGCUGAGAUUUUUGUAGGUAUCACUUCAAGAGAGGAAAGUUUCUCUUACGAGUGUUUUCCCUUGGCAUUAUGCAAGCAUCCAGUUACCUUUGAUAGGCCCUGAAAUGAUGAAAGAGACGAAGGGAAUUUGCAGGUGUACAGGUAGAAUGAGACAUUUAGGAAACACAUUUUCAACAGUAUAUUUUUUAGGUUCAUUUGAAGAGGUCACAGUGAGCCUAUCAGUAAUAGUUAACAGGGGUCAUUGCUCGUAUGGAUGUGCAUGAUAAUGUGGGCCUAAAACACAGCCCAGCCCAUCUGAUCUUCCCUUAUAUAGGUAAGUGGUGGUGUCCCUAACACUUCUGUUACUAUGAUUUUGUUGUAGCUGUUCAAGUAAGAAAUGAUAGAGCUCUUACCAAUUUAAAAAAACAUUAUUUUUCUCACUUUUUAUAUUUUAGAAUAACUUUAUGAUUAACCUCUGAGUUUUGAGUGAUAGUGCCUAUCCUGGUUAUUGGUGUUUCUUACCACAGCAGUAACCAGGGGAUUUUUACAGGUGUCCUGUCAAGAAAUGACCGUCUUACCUGACAGUGGUAUUGAUCUUGCAUUAUUACAAGUAUCCAGGUAGAGUUUAUGUGUUCUGUAAUGAUGGAGUGACGAAGGUUAUUUUCAGAUGUCUUGGUGGAAAUGUUUGUGUCCUUUAACACAUAUUUCACAAUGUGUAUUUCAGGUUUCUGUAGUGAGACCCUGAUAAACCUAACAAUGGUUGGUAUGGCAGACAUUUCUGGUAUGCAGGCAAGUGAUGAUGUGUUCUUUAACCACAUCAUAGACCAUCAGAUCUUCUUAUAUCUUUUUUUUUUUUUUUUUUGACAGAGUCUCGCUUUGUCACCCA
RNAcentral lists this long non-coding RNA (8518 nucleotides) under Homo sapiens (human). RNAcentral's name for it is "HSALNT0407004". The record is from RNAcentral. Lineage: Eukaryota; Metazoa; Chordata; Mammalia; Primates; Hominidae.